Molecule: unclassified non-coding RNA, 253 nt
Filed under: uncultured Deinococcaceae bacterium
Lineage: Bacteria; Thermotogati; Deinococcota; Deinococci; Deinococcales; Deinococcaceae
Description: contains 16S-23S intergenic spacer region
Rfam family: Bacterial small subunit ribosomal RNA
Source: RNAcentral
UACGGAGGGUGCAAGCGUUACCCGGAAUCACUGGGCGUAAAGGGCGUGUAGGCGGGAUGUUAAGUCUGGUUUUAAAGACUGCGGCUCAACCGCAGGGAUGGACUGGAUACUGGCAUUCUUGACCUCUGGAGAGGAAACCGGAAUUCCUGGUGUAGCGGUGGAAUGCGUAGAUACCAGGAGGAACACCAAUGGCGAAGGCAGGUUUCUGGACAGAAGGUGACGCUGAGGCGCGAAAGUGUGGGGAGCGAACCGG